AACGAACGCUGGCGGCAUGCCUAACACAUGCAAGUCGAACGAGACCUUCGGGUCUAGUGGCGCACGGGUGCGUAACGCGUGGGAAUCUGCCCUUGGGUUCGGAAUAACAGUUAGAAAUGACUGCUAAUACCGGAUGAUGUCUUCGGACCAAAGAUUUAUCGCCCAAGGAUGAGCCCGCGUAGGAUUAGGUAGUUGGUGGG
Molecule: ribosomal RNA, 200 nt
Filed under: uncultured bacterium
Lineage: Bacteria
Description: partial 16S ribosomal RNA
Rfam family: Bacterial small subunit ribosomal RNA
Source: RNAcentral